This 69-nucleotide transfer RNA is filed under the name Rattus norvegicus (Norway rat). It matches the Rfam family "tRNA". From Rfam's summary of the family: Transfer RNA (tRNA) molecules are approximately 80 nucleotides in length. Their secondary structure includes four short double-helical elements and three loops (D, anti-codon, and T loops). The record is from Rfam by way of RNAcentral. Lineage: Eukaryota; Metazoa; Chordata; Mammalia; Rodentia; Muridae.
GGGGAUUUAGCUCAGCGGUAGAGCGCUUGCCUAGCAAAUGCAAGGCCCUGGGUUCGGUCCCCAGCCCCG